GGUUCCAUGAUGAUGUCAUCAGGCGGGGGCAUGAACGUGUCCAGUAGCAACUCGUCUUCCACCAGCGUGUUGACCAGCUCCACCAUGGAAGGUAAAGUCUCUACUGGUGAUAUUACCAUAGUUCCCAUAUAGUGAUUCCCUUCUCUGAUUCACGUCACAACACUCUCCAGGACCAUGGAACCCCAUACCACACGACGUGUAGCCUCUCUCUACUACUAACACACAGCUCACCUGGCAGAACACACACAGUCCACAUUCUGACCUGAACAUCAUGACGUGUUGCUUCUCUCUUUUCGGUUUUAUUUAAAUUACAUUUGACGUUUCCAUUUAUAAUAAAAACCUGACCCUACAAUGAGA
This is a long non-coding RNA of Oncorhynchus masou masou (cherry salmon), 357 nucleotides long. RefSeq lists it as uncharacterized. The transcript has 2 exons. Lineage: Eukaryota; Metazoa; Chordata; Actinopteri; Salmoniformes; Salmonidae. The record is from RefSeq and is a predicted model, not a curated record.